This 304-nucleotide long non-coding RNA is filed under the name Eurytemora carolleeae. Its description in RNAcentral is "uncharacterized LOC111706802". Lineage: Eukaryota; Metazoa; Arthropoda; Copepoda; Calanoida; Temoridae. The record is from RNAcentral.
AUAUUCUCAAUAUCAUCAGCUUAGCACUCUACUCUGGCCAGUUCAGCUACAUCAUCAGACCGAAGUCAAGACCGAGAACUUUGGACUAAAUCAGGAGGAAGCCUGUAUUUCUGAUAAAAAAGAAGAUGAGGCGGGGUCAAAGAUAACACAAGAAAAACUGUUUUCUCAGCAUUCAAUCUCUACAGACAAACCGGAUGUGAGUGAGCCUGGUCUGUUUUCUCCAGAUUUUAACACUGAUCUCUGUGAUCUACUGGAGGAUUACCAGGACUUGAAUGAAUCCUUUUCUCAGAAACAUUUAUCUAUC